Molecule: ribosomal RNA, 254 nt
Filed under: uncultured bacterium
Lineage: Bacteria
Description: partial 16S ribosomal RNA
Rfam family: Bacterial small subunit ribosomal RNA
Source: RNAcentral
UACGGGGGGAGCAAGCGUUGUUCGGAUUUACUGGGCGUAAAGGGCGCGUAGGCGGCCACUGCAAGUCAGUUGUGAAAUCCCCGGGCUUAACUCGGAAAGGUCAACUGAUACUGCAGGGCUAGAGUGCAGAAGGGGCAACUGGAAUUCUCGGUGUAGCGGUGAAAUGCGUAGAUAUCGAGAGGAACACCUGCGGCGAAGGCGGGUUGCUGGGCUGACACUGACGCUGAAGCGCGAAAGCCAGGGGAGCGAACGGG